RNAcentral lists this long non-coding RNA (803 nucleotides) under Ficedula albicollis (Collared flycatcher). RNAcentral describes it as "lncRNA (ENSFALG00000023980.1)". The record is from RNAcentral. Lineage: Eukaryota; Metazoa; Chordata; Aves; Passeriformes; Muscicapidae.
GAGUUCAUGCACAUCAGAGGGUGUCCUGUGCCCCGUGGGAGCCCUGAGAGGCUCCUGGGUGGAGUCCAGCUGUGCCUCCUGCUCCACCAGAAAGACUCUGGAAAUAAUUGCUUAUCCAGAGGAUGGCAAGAUUUGAGCAGUAUGAUGCUGACACAAGGAUCUUCAGCAGUCACAAGGAUGGCCCAUGCUGGUGGCGAAGAUUUGUACAACUCUGCAGUUUUCCAUGAAGAAGGUUCACCACCCUCCACCUAUGCCAUUGUCAUGGUGUCUCUCAGUGGAAGCCUCCUGCUGCUGGUUGCCAUCAGCACGGCCAUAAGUGUUCUCCGGAGGCACUGCACAUCAAAUUAUUCCUCCAAAGACCUCAGAACACCCGUGAUGGUGGAAAAAGUUACUGUGGCAAACUGCAGCUCUGACAAGAUUUCAACAGCGGAUUUAACUGGCCCAAUAUGCAUAAAUUACAUUUCUUACAAGCAAAAUGUGUGCCCAGCCAGAGUUUGCCAUCUCUGAAGAGACAAUUUCCAUUUCUGAUGCUCCUCCUUUGACAACAGCCCCUAAUCCAGUGCCAGAGCAAUGACAGCCCACAGCUUCUUCCAUUUGCAGCUUUCUUAUGGAGAGAAAAGGGGAUAAAGAACUCAGGGGAUGUGUGCUAGUGGGUGGAUGGACUGACAUGUUGCACUUCAUUUUCUCCACCAAAGUGCUGGACUGUGAACUCAUACCACAAAAGUAUUAGAAAAGGCAGGAAAUUGAGUUUUUUAAUGGAAGUGGAGAAAUAGCAUAGAUACAGAUACCUUUUCUCUGUGACG